GUCCGUUGGUCAAGGGGUUAAGACACCGCCUUUUCACGGCGGUAACACGUAGCCUUCCAAGCUGUUGUCGCGAGUUCGAUUCUCGUCACCCGCU
RNAcentral lists this transfer RNA (94 nucleotides) under Streptococcus salivarius. RNAcentral describes it as "tRNA-Glu". The stretch from base 7 to 86 matches the Rfam family "tRNA", at positions 8 to 63 of the family's 71-position model. Rfam says of the family: Transfer RNA (tRNA) molecules are approximately 80 nucleotides in length. Their secondary structure includes four short double-helical elements and three loops (D, anti-codon, and T loops). Further hydrogen bonds mediate the characteristic L-shaped molecular structure. tRNAs have two regions of fundamental functional importance: the anti-codon, which is responsible for specific mRNA codon recognition, and the 3' end, to which the tRNAs corresponding amino acid is attached (by aminoacyl-tRNA synthetases). tRNAs cope with the degeneracy of the genetic code in two manners: having more than one tRNA (with a specific anti-codon) for a particular amino acid; and 'wobble' base-pairing, i.e. permitting non-standard base-pairing at the 3rd anti-codon position. The record is from RNAcentral. Lineage: Bacteria; Bacillati; Bacillota; Bacilli; Lactobacillales; Streptococcaceae.